This 254-nucleotide ribosomal RNA is filed under the name uncultured bacterium. Its description in RNAcentral is "partial 16S ribosomal RNA". It matches the Rfam family "Bacterial small subunit ribosomal RNA", at positions 524 to 776 of the family's 1533-position model. The record is from RNAcentral.
UACGAAGGGGGGCUAGCGUUGUUCGGAAUUACUGGGCGUAAAGCGCACGUAGGCGAAUAUUUAAGUCAGGGGUGAAAUCCCGCAGCUCAACUGCGGAACUGCCUUUGAUACUGGGUAUCUUGAGUAUGGAAGAGGUAAGUGGAAUUCCGAGUGUAGAGGUGAAAUUCGUAGAUAUUCGGAGGAACACCAGUGGCGAAGGCGGCUUACUGGUCCAUUACUGACGCUGAGGUGCGAAAGCGUGGGGAGCAAACAGG